RNAcentral lists this ribosomal RNA (332 nucleotides) under uncultured eukaryote. Its description in RNAcentral is "partial 18S ribosomal RNA". It matches the Rfam family "Eukaryotic small subunit ribosomal RNA", at positions 1470 to 1796 of the family's 1831-position model. The record is from RNAcentral.
CCCUUAGAUGUUCUGGGUCGCACGCGCGCUACACUGACGGAGGCAGCGAGCAUGUCCUUCGCCGAGAGGUGUGGGGAAUCUUGUGAGUCUCCGUCGUGCUGGGGAUAGAUGGUUGCAAUUGUCGAUCUUGAACGAGGAAUUCCUAGUAAGCGCGAGUCAUCAGCUCGCGCUGAUUACGUCCCUGCCCUUUGUACACACCGCCCGUCGCUACUACCGAUUGAAUCGUUUAGCGAGAAUUUUGGAUCGGAGCCCUGGUGGGCAGCGAUGUCCGCCUGGGAUUUACCGAGAAAUCAUUCCAGCUUGCCGAUUUAGAGGAAGUAAAAGUCGUAACA